This 26-nucleotide non-coding RNA is filed under the name Homo sapiens (human). Lineage: Eukaryota; Metazoa; Chordata; Mammalia; Primates; Hominidae. The record is from RNAcentral.
UGAGGGCAGUGUCAUGGGCCAUAGAC